Molecule: ribosomal RNA, 429 nt
Filed under: uncultured bacterium
Lineage: Bacteria
Description: bacterial SSU rRNA
Rfam family: Bacterial small subunit ribosomal RNA
Source: RNAcentral
UGGGGAAUAUUGGACAAUGGGGGCAACCCUGAUCCAGCAAUACCGCGUGUGUGAAGAAGGCCUUCGGGUUGUAAAGCACUUUAGUUGGGGAGGAAGAUUUGUAUUUUAAGAGAUAACAAAUUUGACUGUACCCAAAGAAUAAGCACCGGCUAACUCUGUGCCAGCAGCCGCGGUAAUACAGAGGGUGCGAGCGUUAAUCGGAAUUACUGGGCGUAAAGGGCGCGUAGGCGGUUAUUUAAGUUAGAUGUGAAAUCCCUGGGCUUAACCUAGGAACUGCAUCUGAUACUGGAUAGCUAGAGUGCUGUAGAGGGUAGUGGAAUUUCCGGUGUAGCGGUGAAAUGCGUAGAUAUCGGAAGGAACACCAGUGGCGAAGGCGGCUACCUGGACAGACACUGACGCUGAGGCGCGAAAGCGUGGGGAUCAAACAGG